RNAcentral lists this ribosomal RNA (1146 nucleotides) under Escherichia coli. Its description in RNAcentral is "partial 23S ribosomal RNA". It matches the Rfam family "Bacterial large subunit ribosomal RNA", at positions 419 to 1570 of the family's 2925-position model. The record is from RNAcentral. Lineage: Bacteria; Pseudomonadati; Pseudomonadota; Gammaproteobacteria; Enterobacterales; Enterobacteriaceae.
GGGACACGUGGUAUCCUGUCUGAAUAUGGGGGGACCAUCCUCCAAGGCUAAAUACUCCUGACUGACCGAUAGUGAACCAGUACCGUGAGGGAAAGGCGAAAAGAACCCCGGCGAGGGGAGUGAAAAAGAACCUGAAACCGUGUACGUACAAGCAGUGGGAGCCUCUUAAUGGGGUGACUGCGUACCUUUUGUAUAAUGGGUCAGCGACUUAUAUUCUGUAGCAAGGUUAACCGAAUAGGGGAGCCGAAGGGAAACCGAGUCUUAACUGGGCGUUAAGUUGCAGGGUAUAGACCCGAAACCCGGUGAUCUAGCCAUGGGCAGGUUGAAGGUUGGGUAACACUAACUGGAGGACCGAACCGACUAAUGUUGAAAAAUUAGCGGAUGACUUGUGGCUGGGGGUGAAAGGCCAAUCAAACCGGGAGAUAGCUGGUUCUCCCCGAAAGCUAUUUAGGUAGCGCCUCGUGAAUUCAUCUCCGGGGGUAGAGCACUGUUUCGGCAAGGGGGUCAUCCCGACUUACCAACCCGAUGCAAACUGCGAAUACCGGAGAAUGUUAUCACGGGAGACACACGGCGGGUGCUAACGUCCGUCGUGAAGAGGGAAACAACCCAGACCGCCAGCUAAGGUCCCAAAGUCAUGGUUAAGUGGGAAACGAUGUGGGAAGGCCCAGACAGCCAGGAUGUUGGCUUAGAAGCAGCCAUCAUUUAAAGAAAGCGUAAUAGCUCACUGGUCGAGUCGGCCUGCGCGGAAGAUGUAACGGGGCUAAACCAUGCACCGAAGCUGCGGCAGCGACACUAUGUGUUGUUGGGUAGGGGAGCGUUCUGUAAGCCUGUGAAGGUGGCCUGUGAGGGUUGCUGGAGGUAUCAGAAGUGCGAAUGCUGACAUAAGUAACGAUAAAGCGGGUGAAAAGCCCGCUCGCCGGAAGACCAAGGGUUCCUGUCCAACGUUAAUCGGGGCAGGGUGAGUCGACCCCUAAGGCGAGGCCGAAAGGCGUAGUCGAUGGGAAACAGGUUAAUAUUCCUGUACUUGGUGUUACUGCGAAGGGGGGACGGAGAAGGCUAUGUUGGCCGGGCGACGGUUGUCCCGGUUUAAGCGUGUAGGCUGGUUUUCCAGGCAAAUCCGGAAAAUCAAGGCUGAGGCGUGAUGAC